UCAGCUAUAAAACCAAUACAUUAGUUCUCACUGAACCCAACCAUAUCAAACUCACCUAUACACAGUCAAUCCAACCUAAAUCUCAACCCAUGCAUUAGAUUGUCCAGACCUGAGCCGCAACCAGCUGAAAAUAAUCUAUAUAUGCAAUCAAUCAAAUUUAAAAGAAGAACAACACAGUAUGUGGAGUACCCAAGCAUGAACAGCAACACAUUUUAUGGAAAUUCCAUUGUCUUGAACGCAA
RNAcentral lists this long non-coding RNA (241 nucleotides) under Phoenix dactylifera (date palm). RNAcentral describes it as "long non-coding RNA (PDAC_LNC004573)". The record is from RNAcentral. Lineage: Eukaryota; Viridiplantae; Streptophyta; Magnoliopsida; Arecales; Arecaceae.